Molecule: ribosomal RNA, 921 nt
Filed under: Triticum aestivum (bread wheat)
Lineage: Eukaryota; Viridiplantae; Streptophyta; Magnoliopsida; Poales; Poaceae
Description: partial small subunit ribosomal RNA
Source: RNAcentral
AUGACUGGCAAAAGAAGCCUUCUUAUGGACUCAACCUUACCUCCAUCCGACAAGAGUCACAUCACAUUUCCUGACACUGGUAAAAGUAAGGUACUGGGUCUAGGUAGAGUUGCAAUCUCAAAGGAUCAACACAUGGAUAAAGUCAUGCUUGUUGAAUCCCUUUGCUUCAACUUAAUGUCUGUCUCAAUGCUUUGCGAUUUGAACAUGAUCGUAAUAUUUGGAAAAUAUCGCUACCUUGUACUAAUGGAAUCUGACAAGUCUCUAGUGUUUGAAGGGUAUCGGAAAGAUGAUUUGUAUGUAGUAGAUUUCUCGGCAGGACCACAGCUUGCCGUAUGUCUUCUAGCAAAAUCUUCAGAAUGCUGGCUCUGGCAUCGGAGGCUAGGGCAUGCUGGCAUGAGGAACCUCCACACCCUUGCAAAGAAGAAGCAUGUCAUAGGCAUCGAGGGUGUCAAAUUCAAAAAAGAUCACUUAUGCGGUGCCUGUGAAGUAGGAAAGAUGACGAGGGCCAAACAUCCCUCGAAGACAAUCAUGACAACCACUCGACCCUUCGAACUGCUCCACAUGGAUCUUUUCGGUCCCACUCAUUACUCAACUCUUACUACUACUGCUUGUCUCUAUGACUUUGUCAUUGUUGAUGAUUAUUCUAGAUAUACUUGGGUGCACAUAAUCCUCUACAAGACUGAAGUGCAGGAUGUCUUCAGACGCUUCGUCAAUCGAGCAAUGAACAACUAUGGCGCCAAGAUAAAGCACAUCAGAAGUGACAAUGGCACUGAAUUCAAUAACACUGGCCUUGAUACAUAUCUUGAUACCUUGGGCAUCACACAUGAAUUCUUAGCCCCGUACACGCCACAGCAGAAUGGCGUCGUCGAACGCAAGAACAGAACCCUCAUUAAGAUGGUCCGAACGAUGCUUGAUGAAUAA